This 509-nucleotide ribosomal RNA is filed under the name uncultured bacterium. RNAcentral's name for it is "bacterial SSU rRNA". It matches the Rfam family "Bacterial small subunit ribosomal RNA", at positions 15 to 518 of the family's 1533-position model. The record is from RNAcentral.
GAUCCUGGCUCAGGAUGAACGCUGGCGGCGUGCUUAACACAUGCAAGUCGAACGAAGCACUGUUCUGAAAUUCUUUCGGGAAUGAAGGGAUAGUGACUUAGUGGCGGACGGGUGAGUAACGCGUGGGUAACCUGCCUUAUACAGGGGGGAUAACAGUUGGAAACGACUGCUAACACCGCAUAAGCGCACAGUGUCGCAUGGCACAGUGUAGAAAACAUUUAUGGGUAUAAGAUGGACCCGCGUCUGAUUAGCUAGUUGGUGAGGUAACGGCCCACCAAGGCGACGAUCAGUAGCCGGCUUGAGAGAGUGAACGGCCACAUUGGGACUGAGACACGGCCCAAACUCCUACGGGAGGCAGCAGGUGGGGAAUAUUGCACAAUGGGGGAAACCCUGAUGCAGCCGACGCCGCGUGAGUGAAGAAGUAUUUCGGUAUGUAAAGCUCUAUCAGCAGGGACGAUAAUGACGGUACCUGACUAAGAAGCCCCGGCUAACUACGUGCCAGCAGCCGC